Long non-coding RNA from Gadus morhua (Atlantic cod), 1454 nucleotides. RefSeq lists it as uncharacterized. The transcript is spliced from 2 exons. The record is from RefSeq and is a predicted model, not a curated record. NCBI's taxonomy places the organism in Eukaryota, Metazoa, Chordata, Actinopteri, Gadiformes, Gadidae.
GGCAACUUUAAUAGAAUCUAAGUGCUUCUUCACCGGAUUGCAAGCCAACUUUUAAAUCCAAUCAGUGGAGCAUAUCUGAGAGAGAGAGAGAGAGAGAGAGAGAGAGAGAGAGAGAGAGAGAGAGAGAGAGAGAGAGAGAGAGAGAGAGAGAGAGAGAGAGAGAGAGAGAGAAUUCCGAGCCAAAUUCUAGGCUUGCAGAACAGGACCCUGCGAUCUCAGCUUUUAACAAGCCGCGUCAACCAGUUUCCACGCCACACAUGACCACGCACAAACACACACAAAUUGAUAUCCUAUCCUUGUCCUCAAAAACGCAAACAGAGAGAGACCAUGAAAGAAAAUCAAAUACUUUAUAUAACAUACAUGUAUCUGAUAUCAUUGUAAGAUGGUGGUUUAAUGAACGCUCGUUUUGUUUAUUUAUCCACAUUUAUAUUGAAUUAUUGCAUACUUAUAAUCGUAACUGUUGACAAAUUCCAAAUGUAACAAGUGAAAUAAAUGUCUGCGGUGCAUUGCCUCUGAGCCCGCACAGUCGGAGAGCGACUAUGACAGCUCUGACAGCUGUAGCUCAUCAUUUUAAUGAGUCUCGCUGGGCAAGCUCGCCGUCAGUCUGGAGACCGACGCACACACACAGCAGCACGUAUCAAAUGUAGACGAGGCGUGCUGCGCCAUGUGCACGUUACAUGUGCUCAGUCCCAGGGCAUGUGUUGGACUGUACGUCAGACUCUUCCUGCAUGCUGUGCAGGAGAGACCGAGAUAAAGAAAAAGAGAGAUUGCAGCUACGUUACAGUGAGUCAUGCCUACGGACUACGGAGAGAUGGCUCUUUUGAAUCGAACCGAUGAGAGACGGAGACAGGGCAGCCCCGGCCAUGGUGUACUGGAAUGAUAAGACGAUUAAGUAGUCAAACAGGCUGCUGCAGGAGACAGCUAUGGAGGGAAAACUGAUACGGCAAGAGGAUUGGCGUUCUCUGAGGGCGAAAAGAACCGCACAACACUAAAACUCUUGUCUGGCAGAGCUUUUUAUCUGUAUUUUUGGCCAAAGCAGGACAUUUGCUGACAAGUGCAACCGAGGGUGGCUGGUGUGAUCUGGUGCACCUCCUCCCUGGGCCAACAUAAACACCGUGAUGCUGAAUCAUUCCCACGUCUGUGUGUCUGUCGGACCUGCUGCUUCCCAUACCUCCGGCUCUUUGGCAACUGGAAGACUUUAUUCAACAGGCUCAACCCUUUUUCCUGAGGUUCACAAUAUUUAAAAAACACACCCUGCUGUUUCUCUGCAUGACGAUAAAAAACGUUAGGGGUUCCCUUACUGAAUAACAAAUCCAAAAAAAGACUCCCCAAAAUGACAUUGAAUUGGUAAUCAUAUACAUACACUAUGACAAGUGAUUAGAAUAUGUGAAUAUACUUCUAUUCUAUUUUGCCCAUAGAACCAUUACACCAAGGCAAUAAAAACACGAAACACA